UAAAACCCCUCUCAGUUCGGACUGGAGUCUGCAACCCGACUCCACGAAGCUGGAUUCGCUAGUAAUCGCGCAUCAGCCACGGCGCGGUGAAUACGUUCCCGGGCCUUGUACACACCGCCCGUCAAGCCAUGGGAGCCGGGGGUACCUGAAGUGCGUAACCGCGAGGAUCGCCCUAGGGUAAAACUGGUGACUGGGGCUAAGUCGUAACAAGGUAUC
RNAcentral lists this ribosomal RNA (216 nucleotides) under uncultured bacterium. RNAcentral describes it as "partial 16S ribosomal RNA". It matches the Rfam family "Bacterial small subunit ribosomal RNA", at positions 1277 to 1500 of the family's 1533-position model. The record is from RNAcentral.